RNAcentral lists this small RNA (151 nucleotides) under Arabidopsis thaliana (thale cress). Its description in RNAcentral is "ATSL290800". Lineage: Eukaryota; Viridiplantae; Streptophyta; Magnoliopsida; Brassicales; Brassicaceae. The record is from RNAcentral.
AAGGGUCUUGGAGUUGAAGAGUUAAUCCUCGAAACUAUCAGUACUGAUGCCAAACAAGAAUUUAAGGACAAUGAGGAAGUUGCAAGCAAUCAGGAAGCUGGAGAAAUUGAUAGAGAGACGGAGAAAGAGAAGGAGCUCUCUGCUCUGCUCU